This 367-nucleotide ribosomal RNA is filed under the name uncultured eukaryote. RNAcentral's name for it is "partial 18S ribosomal RNA". It matches the Rfam family "Eukaryotic small subunit ribosomal RNA", at positions 592 to 975 of the family's 1831-position model. The record is from RNAcentral.
CAGUAGCGUAUAUUAAAGUUGUUGCAGUUAAAAUGCUCGUAGUUGAAGUUCGGAUGCAGCAGAGCUUGGAAACGCUGUUAUGGUGCUUCCGUUGCUUUCGCUUGUCCACAGUGCGUUGCAAGUACGUAUGUGCUUGUGCGUGCAUUUUACUUUGAGAAACAUAGGGUGUUCCACGCAUGUUACGGCAUGAAUAUUCCAGCAUGGGAUAAUCUGGUACGACUUCCAAUCUGCCAUUUUGGUUCGUAGGUUGGAAGUAAUGAUUAAUAGGGACUGUCGGGGGCAUUGGUAUUUGACUGUCAGAGGUGAAAUUCUUAGAUUCGUUGAGGACCAACCACUGCGAAAGCAUUUGUCAAGGAUGUCUCCAUUA